This is a long non-coding RNA of Sitophilus oryzae (rice weevil), 1397 nucleotides long. RefSeq lists it as uncharacterized. NCBI's taxonomy places the organism in Eukaryota, Metazoa, Arthropoda, Insecta, Coleoptera, Curculionidae. The transcript has 8 exons. The record is from RefSeq and is a predicted model, not a curated record.
UAAAUAAUGUAAUUUUACAUUAUAAUGAGAAUUAAAGUAUUAGUAAUUUAUUUUUGUUACUAAAAUUAAAAUCAGUUUGUUCCUGCAUAAAUCUUUUUAGUACUAAACUGCUUUGGAAUGACUUUUUUGGGGGGACAACAGCAGGAUUAGGGCCGUCUUCUAGAUGCCAUCAGGUAGGUGCGCUAGCGUAGUCGUUUGUUGUAGCAUGAUAUCCCUUUUCCCCCUUUUUUAAAAAUGUUUGUAAGACGCCUGAAAUUUGUAUAAGUUAGUUAUAUAAGUAGUUGAAUAAGAAUUGGUGAGAGUUGGAAAAUAGAAGAGGACAAAGAAGAUGGAAGAGGAUUGCUUUGAAAUAGAAGGAAAGAGAUAGAAAAUUUUUGAGGAAAGGAGGAGGAUUUUGUUCGCUGUAAUGGUAGUUUUUUGAAUGAAAUUUGGUGCAACUGUAUUAAGAUGUUAUUGAUAUCUUGGACAUCAAGUUUCAUUUAUUUGCGUAUUAUACAAGCCUAUCUAUUGGUGGAAAUGUAAAAUGGCAGCUGGUAUAACACCUUGUAUGAAUUAUUACUAACUCCAAAGAAGUUUGUACAUAAUUUAAACUGGGAAGAAGCUCAUAAAAGACCAGUUUAGGCUGCAGUAGUACCAGGACCUUAAAUUGGCUUCCACAACACAGAUAUCUUUCAAAAAUGAUAUCUGUUCGAGUGAUGUACUGGGCGUUAACAGUUGCUGUUACAAAUCUGCAAAUGUCAAGAAAUGUUUUGAAUGAAACGAUAGUGAAAAACUUGUCCACAAAUGUCAAUUUCAAGAUACAAUCAAUAGUACUAAGAUUGAUUGGCCUCCAUUACCAUUAUGCUAUAAAAAUGUAAGCAAUACAAAUUGGUAUUAAUGGACGUUUUGACAGUUGUUUCCAGUCCAAGUUCCAGUUUUAAUGGAAAAUCUUUAAUGGACACAGGAAAAUGCCAUUUACUGGAUUAACUUCAAUACCUGUUGCCUUUUAAUAAGGGUAUACAACGGUACAAUUGCUGUUAGGAAGUUAACAAGUAGUACUAGUUGCAGAUAAUAUAUUAUGGUGGACAUCAAAAAGCUUUAAAUGGAAUGAAACUUGCAGGAAAAAUAAAGGAAAACCAUUUUAGACUGUAUACGUAAUAGUUGUUAGAGUGGAUGCAGUCCUUCAUCAAUGUGAGCUGAACAAAAUGGUAAUGGACAUUUUGACAGCUGCUGUCACAACUCAACGAACAAGUUGCAGCUUUGAAGGAACAUUUUUGAUUGGAUACAGAAAAAUGUCAGUCGUUUCAGGAUGUAAAGUUAAUAGAACCAGGGUCGGGCUCGACAUCUGUUGCCUUUUAAUAAUGGCAUACGAUAGGACAAUUGCUAUUAGAAACCGAUAUGACAUACUAGGUGCAAAU